GCCCGUAUAGCUCAGUGGUAGAGCGUAUCACUCGUAAUGAUAAGGUCCACGGUUCGAUCCCGUGUGGGGGCA
This 72-nucleotide transfer RNA is filed under the name Gaeumannomyces tritici R3-111a-1. RNAcentral describes it as "tRNA-Thr (CGT) (tRNA-Thr-CGT-2-1)". It matches the Rfam family "tRNA". From Rfam's summary of the family: Transfer RNA (tRNA) molecules are approximately 80 nucleotides in length. Lineage: Eukaryota; Fungi; Ascomycota; Sordariomycetes; Magnaporthales; Magnaporthaceae. The record is from RNAcentral.